CAGCCGCCGCGGGAUCACGAAGGGUGCAAGCGUUACUCGGAAUUACUGGGCGUAAAGCGUGCGUAGGUGGUGGUUUAAGUCCGUUGUGAAAGCCCUGGGCUCAACCUGGGAAUUGCAGUGGAUACUGGGUCACUAGAGUGUGGUAGAGGAUAGUGGAAUUUCCGGUGUAGCAGUGAAAUGCGUAGAGAUCGGAAGGAACAUCUGUGGCGAAGGCGACUAUCUGGGCCAACACUGACACUGAGGCACGAAAGCGUGGGGAGCAAACAGGAUUAGAUACCCCCGUAGUCCCUGUCUCUUAUAC
This 301-nucleotide ribosomal RNA is filed under the name uncultured bacterium. RNAcentral describes it as "partial 16S ribosomal RNA". It matches the Rfam family "Bacterial small subunit ribosomal RNA", at positions 509 to 807 of the family's 1533-position model. The record is from RNAcentral.